This 253-nucleotide ribosomal RNA is filed under the name uncultured bacterium. RNAcentral's name for it is "partial 16S ribosomal RNA". It matches the Rfam family "Bacterial small subunit ribosomal RNA", at positions 524 to 776 of the family's 1533-position model. The record is from RNAcentral.
UACAGAGGGUGCAAGCGUUGUUCGGAAUUAUUGGGCGUAAAGCGCGUGUAGGCGGCUUUGCAAGUCGGGUGUGAAAGCCCUCGGCUCAACCGAGGAAGUGCGCCCGAAACUGCAGAGCUUGAGUACCGGAGAGGAUGGCGGAAUUCCCCAAGUAGAGGUGAAAUUCGUAGAUAUGGGGAGGAACACCGGUGGCGAAGGCGGCCAUCUGGACGGAUACUGACGCUGAGACGCGAAAGCUAGGGGAGCAAACGGG